RNAcentral lists this long non-coding RNA (545 nucleotides) under Vitis vinifera (wine grape). RNAcentral describes it as "long non-coding RNA (VVIN_LNC002141)". The record is from RNAcentral. Lineage: Eukaryota; Viridiplantae; Streptophyta; Magnoliopsida; Vitales; Vitaceae.
UGGGGAGGACAUCACUGUCAGGUGGUCUAGGAAAUGAAUGCCACAAAAGGGAAUAUUGAUACAAAAUUGUUUAUUGAUGGGAAUACUAUGCCCUGCGUAUCGAAAUCCAAGAAAGUCAUUUAGAUUUUGCAAUUGCUCUGCUGCCUUGUGUUUAAAUCUGGCGGUGACAUCUGCUGCUCUUUUGGUUGAGUUGUUGGGACAAUUAUUCCUGGAAUGAGAUGGUUCUCUUAAGCCAUCCAUUUGAUCCAACCUCAUGUUCAUUCAAUCAUUCUGGACUUUAAAGCUUCUGAUGUUGAAUUCCGAACCUUACUUUCUGAACUGAGAAACGAUGUUGUGGAAUAUCUACUUUUAGCUCAUGCGUGCACCAUGCAAGGCGAUCAUUUUGGUCUCAGUUUCGAGAGUAGAUGGACGUAGUAGUCUCAGUACCUCCAAUGGUGAUUCGGGCUCUUCAUCAAGUGAUUCAGAUCCAGGCACUUCUUCAGAUGGUGAAUCAGAAGGUGUUUCCUCAAUUUUGGCAAUGGCCCUGCUGAAGAUAGUUAAUAUGG